GGCGCGGUAGCCAAGUGGUAAGGCACGGGUCUGCAAAACCUGUAUUCACCGGUUCGAUUCCGGUCCGCGCCUCCA
Molecule: transfer RNA, 75 nt
Filed under: Verrucomicrobia bacterium ADurb.Bin345
Lineage: Bacteria; Pseudomonadati; Verrucomicrobiota
Also listed under: 2 other names
Description: tRNA-Cys
Rfam family: tRNA
About the family: Transfer RNA (tRNA) molecules are approximately 80 nucleotides in length. Their secondary structure includes four short double-helical elements and three loops (D, anti-codon, and T loops).
Source: RNAcentral